Long non-coding RNA from Ostrea edulis (European flat oyster), 652 nucleotides. RefSeq lists it as uncharacterized. The transcript is spliced from 2 exons. NCBI's taxonomy places the organism in Eukaryota, Metazoa, Mollusca, Bivalvia, Ostreida, Ostreidae. The record is from RefSeq and is a predicted model, not a curated record.
ACGAUUAAUCAGUAGAGCAGCCACGUGACAUAUACAUGUAGACAUAAAUGGUAGUAAAAGUGGAUCUCUCUCUAUCAUUAUAUACAAUUACAGUUUUUCUAUGAUAUGCUUCUGUUUGAAAGUAGUGUCCCUUCAUUCCUGGCGGUAGUGUGUGUUGUUUAUGAGUAGAAGUCAGAAUAGGUAAGUUUUUACUAUGCUUUUUGACAAUAUCUCUGCAAUAAGGUCUGCAACGAAAUAAAACAGUUAACCAGGUUUCUUCCAGAUCGUCUGCAGCAAAGGAAUGACAUACUGCAAAUUCGGAGAUAAUGCUAUUUUAGCAUCACAUUAUAUGUACAUGUAAUAAAGGGAUCUCCUAGCCGAGAGAAUAACACUUCAUUGACUAAAUCUAUCCAGAUGACCAAUGGACGUGGAUAUCUUUUAUUGCACUGUUGCCUUGCAUCGUCGUGAACAGCUACACUUCCUGAUGUCCUGUACAGACUUUUCGUGAAAAAUUAACUUCAAGCUACAGUUUAAAAUGCAGAUCUCGGAACACUGGAUUUACGUUGUGCCCUCAAGACUUUUCUCAGAUUGUGAAAAUCGCUAACUAGACAUUUCAAGCAACCUAUGAUUUUCAGCAAGUGUGGAAAAAUAAAUUGAAUUAUUGAAUGUGCAA